This 46-nucleotide non-coding RNA is filed under the name Schistosoma mansoni. The record is from RNAcentral. Lineage: Eukaryota; Metazoa; Platyhelminthes; Trematoda; Strigeidida; Schistosomatidae.
AUCCAGUUGAUGAGUCCCAGAGAAGGACGAAACGUGCAUCCUGGAU